RNAcentral lists this ribosomal RNA (253 nucleotides) under uncultured bacterium. Its description in RNAcentral is "partial 16S ribosomal RNA". It matches the Rfam family "Bacterial small subunit ribosomal RNA", at positions 524 to 776 of the family's 1533-position model. The record is from RNAcentral.
UACGUAGGGGGCAAGCGUUGUCCGGAAUCAUUGGGCGUAAAGCGCGUGUAGGCGGCUCGGUAAGUCUGCUGUGAAAGUCCAGGGCUCAACCCUGGGAUGCCGGUGGAUACUGUCGAGCUCGAGUCCGGAAGAGGCGAGUGGAAUUCCUGGUGGAGCGGUGAAAUGCGCAGAUAUCAGGAGGAACACCAAUGGCGAAGGCAGCUCGCUGGGACGUGACUGACGCUGAGACGCGAAAGCGUGGGGAGCAAACAGG